GCGGGUGUAGCUCAGUGGUAGAGCCCCGGCCUUCCAAGCCGGUUGCGAGGGUUCGAUCCCCUUCACCCGCUCCA
This 74-nucleotide transfer RNA is filed under the name Filifactor villosus. RNAcentral's name for it is "tRNA-Gly". It matches the Rfam family "tRNA". From Rfam's summary of the family: Transfer RNA (tRNA) molecules are approximately 80 nucleotides in length. Their secondary structure includes four short double-helical elements and three loops (D, anti-codon, and T loops). RNAcentral also lists the same sequence under 25 other names. The record is from RNAcentral. Lineage: Bacteria; Bacillati; Bacillota; Clostridia; Peptostreptococcales; Filifactoraceae.